This is a long non-coding RNA of Lagopus muta (rock ptarmigan), 314 nucleotides long. RefSeq lists it as uncharacterized. The transcript is spliced from 3 exons. Lineage: Eukaryota; Metazoa; Chordata; Aves; Galliformes; Phasianidae. The record is from RefSeq and is a predicted model, not a curated record.
CUGGCGUGUUUUCUGUACUGCCUUUUAGAGGAAGACUCCAAGUACUGCCCUGAUUGUGCACAGAUCUUGAUCAAACUUCUGGUCUGCUGUUUGAAGAGGAAGCUGUGAAUAAGAACAGCACAAGAAGAUAAACAGCUACUUCAAAACAAAUUUUUCCAGCUCUCUUCCAAAUACAAAACGUUAUUGCUAUGUGCUGUGCUGCAAUUGAAGGCAACUUGGUUGUGACAGUUCAUGAGGCAAGCAUCAAAGAGCAAUUAGUGUUGGUACUGCAAAGCUGAACUAAUGUAAGGUCUGACUUCAUGUCAACGAAUGCA